RNAcentral lists this ribosomal RNA (468 nucleotides) under uncultured bacterium. RNAcentral describes it as "partial 16S ribosomal RNA". It matches the Rfam family "Bacterial small subunit ribosomal RNA", at positions 28 to 507 of the family's 1533-position model. The record is from RNAcentral.
GACGAACGCUGGCGGCGUGCUUAACACAUGCAAGUCGAACGGAAAGGCCCUGCUUUUGUGGGGUGCUCGAGUGGCGAACGGGUGAGUAACAAGUGAGUAACCUGCCCUUGACUUUGGGAUAACUGCAGGAAACUGGGGCUAAUACCGGAUAGGAGCUCCUGCUGCAUGGUGGGGGUUGGAAAGUUUCGGCGGUUGGGGAUGGACUCGCGGCUUAUCAGCUUGUUGGUGGGGUAGUGGCUUACCAAGGCUUUGACGGGUAGCCGGCCUGAGAGGGUGACCGGCCACAUUGGGACUGAGAUACGGCCCAGACUCCUACGGGAGGCAGCAGUGGGGAAUAUUGCACAAUGGGCGGAAGCCUGAUGCAGCAACGCCGCGUGCGGGAUGACGGCCUUCGGGUUGUAAACCGCUUUCGCCUGUGACGAAGCGUGAGUGACGGUAAUGGGUAAAGAAGCACCGGCUAACUACGUG